Streptomyces silvensis is the source of this 404-nucleotide non-coding RNA. It matches the Rfam family "Bacterial RNase P class A". From Rfam's summary of the family: Ribonuclease P (RNase P) is a ubiquitous endoribonuclease, found in archaea, bacteria and eukarya as well as chloroplasts and mitochondria. Its best characterised activity is the generation of mature 5'-ends of tRNAs by cleaving the 5'-leader elements of precursor-tRNAs. Lineage: Bacteria; Bacillati; Actinomycetota; Actinomycetes; Kitasatosporales; Streptomycetaceae. The record is from Rfam.
CGAGCCGGGCGGACGGCCGCGUGGGGGUCCUUGUGGACCUCCCCGAGGAACGUCCGGGCUCCACAGGGCAAGGUGGUGGCUAACGGCCACCCGGGGUGACCCGCGGGACAGUGCCACAGAGAACAGACCGCCGAGGGCUUCGGCCCCCGGUAAGGGUGAAACGGUGGUGUAAGAGACCACCAGCGCCUGAGGUGACUCAGGCGGCUAGGUAAACCCCACCUGGAGCAAGGUCAAAAGGAGCGCCGUGAAACGCGCUCUGCGCGGACGUUCGAGGGCUGCCCGCCCGAGUCCGCGGGUGGACCGCACGAGGCCGACAGCAAUGCCGGCCCUAGAUGGAUGGCCGUCACCGAGGGGCCCGCGAGGACCCUUCGGGACAGAACCCGGCGUACAGCCCGACUCGUCUG